GUCGUUUUAUAAGGGGGCGAUUUGGGCCCGACGUCGCAUGCUCCCGGCCGCCAUGGCGGCCGCGGGAAUUCGAUUUCUGGUUGAUCCUGCCAGAGGCCGCUGCUAUCCGGCUGGGACUAAGCCAUGCGAGUCAAGGGGCUUGUAUCCCUUCGGGGAUGCAAGCACCGGCGGACGGCUCAGUAACACGUAGACAACCUGCCCUCGGGUGGGGGAUAACCCCGGGAAACUGGGGCUAAUCCCCCAUAGGUGAUGGGUGCUGGAAUGCCCCAUCACCGAAAGCGCUCAGCGCCCGAGGAUGGGUCUGCGGCGGAUUAGGUAGUUGGCGGGGUAACGGCCCGCCAAGCCGAAGAUCCGUACGGGCCAUGAGAGUGGGAGCCCGGAGAUGGACCCUGAGACACGGGUCCAGGCCCUACGGGGCGCAGCAGGCGCGAAACCUCCGCAAUGCGGGAAACCGCGACGGGGCUAGCCGGAGUGCCGAUGCCUCGCAUCGGCUGUCGGGGAGCCUAAAAAGCUCCCCACAGCAAGGGCCGGGCAAGGCCGGUGGCAGCCGCCGCGGUAAUACCGGCGGCCCGAGUGGCGGCCACUAUUAUUGGGCCUAAAGCGUCCGUAGCCGGUCUGGCAAGUCCCCCGGGAAAUCUGGCGGCUUAACCGUCAGGCUGCCGGGGGAUACUGCCAGACUAGGGACCGGGAGAGGCCGGGGGUAUUCCCGGGGUAGGGGUGAAAUCCCGUAAUCCCGGGAGGACCACCUGUGGCGAAGGCGCCCGGCUGGAACGGGUCCGACGGUGAGGGACGAAGGCCUGGGGAGCGAACCGGAUUAGAUACCCGGGUAGUCCAGGCUGUAAACGAUGCGGGCUAGGUGUCGCGACAGCCACGAGCUGUCGCGGUGCCGGAGGGAAGCCGUUAAGCCUGCCGCCUGGGAAGUGCGGCCCGCAAGGCUGAAACUUAAAGGAAUUGGCGGGGGAGCCACUACCAACGGGUGGAGCCUGCGGUUUUAAUUUGGAUUCAAACGCCCGGGAAGCCUUUACCCGGGGGAGACAGCCGGGAUGAAGGUUCCGGGACUGAAGACCUCCCUACCUCAGUACCUAGCCUGGAGUAGGAUGGGUGGUCCAAUUGGUCCGGACCUGCGUCUCCUAGGUUUUGUCG
This 1143-nucleotide ribosomal RNA is filed under the name Thermococcus sp. AF1T14.13. RNAcentral's name for it is "partial 16S ribosomal RNA". It matches the Rfam family "Archaeal small subunit ribosomal RNA", at positions 1 to 1038 of the family's 1478-position model. Lineage: Archaea; Methanobacteriati; Methanobacteriota; Thermococci; Thermococcales; Thermococcaceae. The record is from RNAcentral. RNAcentral also lists the same sequence under 2 other names.